UACGUAGGGGGCAAGCGUUGUCCGGAAUUAUUGGGCGUAAAGGGCUCGUAGGCGGUCUGUCGCGUCGGGAGUGAAAACACGGGGCUUAACCCCGUGCCUGCUUCCGAUACGGGCAGACUAGAGGUAUGCAGGGGAGAACGGAAUUCCUGGUGUAGCGGUGAAAUGCGCAGAUAUCAGGAGGAACACCGGUGGCGAAGGCGGUUCUCUGGGCAUUACCUGACGCUGAGGAGCGAAAGCGUGGGGAGCAAACAGG
RNAcentral lists this ribosomal RNA (253 nucleotides) under uncultured bacterium. RNAcentral describes it as "partial 16S ribosomal RNA". It matches the Rfam family "Bacterial small subunit ribosomal RNA", at positions 524 to 776 of the family's 1533-position model. The record is from RNAcentral.